GUGACUGGUGACAGAGUGAGGGAGUGGGUGACUAGUGACAGAGGGAGGGAGAUAGGGGUGACUAGUGACAGAGUGAGGGAAUGGGUGACUAGUGGCAGAGUGAGGGAGGGAAGAGAUGACUAGUGGCAGAGUGAGGGAGGGAAGAGAUGACUAGUGGCAAAGUGAGGGAGGGAAGGGGUGACUAGUGACAGAGUGAGGGGGGGUGACUGUCACUAGUCACCCCAUCCCUCUCUCUGUCACUAGUCACUCCCUCCCUAACUCUGUCACUGUGUCACCCGCUCCCUCACUCUGUCACUGUGUCACCCGCUCCCUCACUCUGUCACUGUGUCACCCGCUCCCUCUCUCUGUCACUAGUCAC
RNAcentral lists this small RNA (358 nucleotides) under Pelobates cultripes (western spadefoot toad). The record is from RNAcentral. Lineage: Eukaryota; Metazoa; Chordata; Amphibia; Anura; Pelobatidae.